CUUAUCAAGAGUGGCUGAGGGACAGGCCCUAUGAAGCCCAGCAACCGGAAGUAUUUACGGUGCUAAAUCCUACAAGAUAUGUAUAUCUUGAAAGAUGAGG
Molecule: non-coding RNA, 100 nt
Filed under: uncultured Peptostreptococcus sp.
Lineage: Bacteria; Bacillati; Bacillota; Clostridia; Peptostreptococcales; Peptostreptococcaceae
Description: SAM riboswitch (S box leader)
Rfam family: SAM riboswitch aptamer (S box leader)
About the family: The SAM riboswitch is found upstream of a number of genes which code for proteins involved in methionine or cysteine biosynthesis in Gram-positive bacteria. The SAM riboswitch acts at the level of transcription termination control. The predicted structure consists of a complex stem-loop region followed by a single stem loop terminator region.
Source: RNAcentral